RNAcentral lists this ribosomal RNA (465 nucleotides) under Vreelandella stevensii. Its description in RNAcentral is "partial 16S ribosomal RNA". It matches the Rfam family "Bacterial small subunit ribosomal RNA", at positions 338 to 795 of the family's 1533-position model. The record is from RNAcentral. Lineage: Bacteria; Pseudomonadati; Pseudomonadota; Gammaproteobacteria; Oceanospirillales; Halomonadaceae.
CCUACGGGAGGCUGCAGUGGGGAAUAUUGGACAAUGGGCGAAAGCCUGAUCCAGCCAUGCCGCGUGUGUGAAGAAGGCCUUCGGGUUGUAAAGCACUUUCAGUGGGGAAGAAAGCCUUGGGGCUAAUACCCUCGAGGAAGGACAUCACCCACAGAAGAAGCACCGGCUAACUCCGUGCCAGCAGCCGCGGUAAUACGGAGGGUGCGAGCGUUAAUCGGAAUUACUGGGCGUAAAGCGCGCGUAGGCGGUCUGAUAAGCCGGUUGUGAAAGCCCCGGGCUCAACCUGGGAACGGCAUCCGGAACUGGCAGGCGAGCGGGCAGGAGAGGAAGGUAGACUUCCCGGUGUAGAGGUGAAAUGCGUAGAGAUCGGGAGGAAUACCAGUGGCGAAGGCGGCCUUCUGGACUGACACUGACGCUGAGGUGCGAAAGCGUGGGUAGCAAACAGGAUUAGAUACCCUGGUAGUC